This is a long non-coding RNA of Syngnathoides biaculeatus (alligator pipefish), 327 nucleotides long. RefSeq lists it as uncharacterized. Lineage: Eukaryota; Metazoa; Chordata; Actinopteri; Syngnathiformes; Syngnathidae. The record is from RefSeq and is a predicted model, not a curated record. The transcript has 3 exons.
GAAUAUGCGACCUCAGAAUUUGGAUGGAAAGCUGAGCUGAAAUAUGUUGAUGGUAUAUAUUUCCUUCAGUGGUGGCCCUACCCCGAAAAAAAUGAUUGUAACAUUUUAAUGAGGAAAAAUAACUACAUAUUAAUGGAAAUUUGGAGGCAGCCUACACCCUCAACCUGUUGCCAGCCAGCCAGCCAAUCACAGCACAAUACACGCAACCUGCAAUUCUUCCAUAUUGAGGAUGAAACGAUGAGCGUUGGAGAGCUCACCAGCGCCAACCUACCUGACUCGCUUUCAUUGGGCCUCUGUCUGUCCCGUGGUCUGGGUGACCUCUGAGCG